AGCCAAUAAGAAAACCCCAUAGCAUAAGUAAAUUGGCUCCUUUCGAGGAUGUUGCUGCACAAGCUCAAGUUAUCUGGAAAUUAAUGUCGAAGAAGCUGCUCAUAUAAGCAUGCAUCCCAAGGUGAUAUUCCUUUCACUGGUCAAUUACAAGUUUCUAGAUCGAGUGGCUUUUCAUGGGUCAAAAGACGAAGACGAUGCAUCCAUAAUAUCACACAGCAGAUCCAUAUCAAGAGGUCACCUUUAAAUUCUUUUGAACAUUCUGCUCAGUUACAUACACAAAAUCAUUGCGAUUCAAAACGAAAUGAAAAUGGGGAUGUAAUAUAUGGAGGUCGUGCUGAUUCUAAAGGCCACGAUUAUAUGAAGCUGCCA
Long non-coding RNA from Hibiscus syriacus, 369 nucleotides. RefSeq lists it as uncharacterized. The record is from RefSeq and is a predicted model, not a curated record. The transcript has 3 exons. Lineage: Eukaryota; Viridiplantae; Streptophyta; Magnoliopsida; Malvales; Malvaceae.